GUAGGGCGGGACACGUGGUAUCCUGUCUGAAUAUGGGGGGACCAUCCUCCAAGGCUAAAUACUCCUGACUGACCGAUAGUGAACCAGUACCGUGAGGGAAAGGCGAAAAGAACCCCGGCGAGGGGAGUGAAAAAGAACCUGAAACCGUGUACGUACAAGCAGUGGGAGCACAGAGCAAUCUGUGUGACUGCGUACCUUUUGUAUAAUGGGUCAGCGACUUAUAUUCUGUAGCAAGGUUAACCGAAUAGGGGAGCCGAAGGGAAACCGAGUCUUAACUGGGCGUUAAGUUGCAGGGUAUAGACCCGAAACCCGGUGAUCUAGCCAUGGGCAGGUUGAAGGUUGGGUAACACUAACUGGAGGACCGAACCGACUAAUGUUGAAAAAUUAGCGGAUGACUUGUGGCUGGGGGUGAAAGGCCAAUCAAACCGGGAGAUAGCUGGUUCUCCCCGAAAGCUAUUUAGGUAGCGCCUCGUGAAUUCAUCUCCGGGGGUAGAGCACUGUUUCGGCAAGGGGGUCAUCCCGACUUACCAACCCGAUGCAAACUGCGAAUACCGGAGAAUGUUAUCACGGGAGACACACGGCGGGUGCUAACGUCCGUCGUGAAGAGGGAAACAACCCAGACCGCCAGCUAAGGUCCCAAAGUCAUGGUUAAGUGGGAAACGAUGUGGGAAGGCCCAGACAGCCAGGAUGUUGGCUUAGAAGCAGCCAUCAUUUAAAGAAAGCGUAAUAGCUCACUGGUCGAGUCGGCCUGCGCGGAAGAUGUAACGGGGCUAAACCAUGCACCGAAGCUGCGGCAGCGACGCUUAUGCGUUGUUGGGUAGGGGAGCGUUCUGUAAGCCUGCGAAGGUGUGCUGUGAGGCAUGCUGGAGGUAUCAGAAGUGCGAAUGCUGACAUAAGUAACGAUAAAGCGGGUGAAAAGCCCGCUCGCCGGAAGACCAAGGGUUCCUGUCCAACGUUAAUCGGGGCAGGGUGAGUCGACCCCUAAGGCGAGGCCGAAAGGCGUAGUCGAUGGGAAACAGGUUAAUAUUCCUGUACUUGGUGUUACUGCGAAGGGGGGACGGAGAAGGCUAUGUUGGCCGGGCGACGGUUGUCCCGGUUUAAGCGUGUAGGCUGGUUUUCCAGGCAAAUCCGGAAAAUCAAGGCUGAGGCGUGAUGACGAGGCACUACGGUGCUGAAGCAACAAAUGCCCUGCUUCCAGGAAAAGCCUCUAAGCAUCAGGUAACAUCAAAUCGUACCCCAAACCGACACAGGUGGUCAGGUAGAGAAUACCAAGGCGCUUGAGAGAACUCGGGUGAAGGAACUAGGCAAAAUGGUGCCGUAACUUCGGGAGAAGGCACGCUGAUAUGUAGGUGAAGCGACUUGCUCGUGGAGCUGAAAUCAGUCGAAGAUACCAGCUGGCUGCAACUGUUUAUUAAAAACACAGCACUGUGCAAACACGAAAGUGGACGUAUACGGUGUGACGCCUGCCCGGUGCCGGAAGGUUAAUUGAUGGGGUCAGCGCAAGCGAAGCUCUUGAUCGAAGCCCCGGUAAACGGCGGCCGUAACUAUAACGGUCCUAAGGUAGCGAAAUUCCUUGUCGGGUAAGUUCCGACCUGCACGAAUGGCGUAAUGAUGGCCAGGCUGUCUCCACCCGAGACUCAGUGAAAUUGAACUCGCUGUGAAGAUGCAGUGUACCCGCGGCAAGACGGAAAGACCCCGUGAACCUUUACUAUAGCUUGACACUGAACAUUGAGCCUUGAUGUGUAGGAUAGGUGGGAGGCUUUGAAGUGUGGACGCCAGUCUGCAUGGAGCCGACCUUGAAAUACCACCCUUUAAUGUUUGAUGUUCUAACGUGGACCCGUAAUCCGGGUUGCGGACAGUGUCUGGUGGGUAGUUUGACUGGGGCGGUCUCCUCCUAAAGAGUAACGGAGGAGCACGAAGGUUGGCUAAUCCUGGUCGGACAUCAGGAGGUUAGUGCAAUGGCAUAAGCCAGCUUGACUGCGAGCGUGACGGCGCGAGCAGGUGCGAAAGCAGGUCAUAGUGAUCCGGUGGUUCUGAAUGGAAGGGCCAUCGCUCAACGGAUAAAAGGUACUCCGGGGAUAACAGGCUGAUACCGCCCAAGAGUUCAUAUCGACGGCGGUGUUUGGCACCUCGAUGUCGGCUCAUCACAUCCUGGGGCUGAAGUAGGUCCCAAGGGUAUGGCUGUUCGCCAUUUAAAGUGGUACGCGAGCUGGGUUUAGAACGUCGUGAGACAGUUCGGUCCCUAUCUGCCGUGGGCGCUGGAGAACUGAGGGGGGCUGCUCCUAGUACGAGAGGACCGGAGUGGACGCAUCACUGGUGUUCGGGUUGUCAUGCCAAUGGCACUGCCCGGUAGCUAAAUGCGGAAGAGAUAAGUGCUGAAAGCAUCUAAGCACGAAACUUGCCCCGAGAUGAGUUCUCCCUGACUCCUUGAGAGUCCUGAAGGAACGUUGAAGACGACGACGUUGAUAGGCCGGGUGUGUAAGCGCAGCGAUGCGUUGAGCUAACCGGUACUAAUGAACCGUGAGGCUUAACCUU
RNAcentral lists this ribosomal RNA (2535 nucleotides) under Escherichia coli. RNAcentral describes it as "partial 23S ribosomal RNA". It matches the Rfam family "Bacterial large subunit ribosomal RNA", at positions 412 to 2925 of the family's 2925-position model. The record is from RNAcentral. Lineage: Bacteria; Pseudomonadati; Pseudomonadota; Gammaproteobacteria; Enterobacterales; Enterobacteriaceae.